CAAAUAUCUGAUCUGCUGUAGUUACUCCUAGUACUGUCAUGUUCGUGGGCUUCAUGCCUCUGCCUAGGCUGGGAGCUCAGGGAUUCACACACCUUGCACACAGGACGGCUACCUGACAAAUGCCUCAGGACCCAUCUGACCUCAAACAGAGCUUGUACAGGCAUUGUCUAUUUGGACCACUUGCCUUAGAAACCCUUGGGCUGCUGGUUAAAAUGCAGAUUCCAGAGCUUUCCCAGACUGGCCAAAUCAGAAUCUCUGGGGGGUGGCGCUCAGGCAUGUGUAUGUUUGCCCGUUUCCCAAGCCCAUACUUGAGGACCAUUGUGUGGAGUAAGAUUAGAGAAGGCAGGUCAUCAGCAAGAUUUGAGCUCCAUCUUAGAGGACAAGCCAAAUUCGGAUGUAUAGUGUCAUUCCUGACAGGGGGAAUGUCAGGGGUUUGAGGAUGUGGUGGUCAGUGGCCACGGGUGGAAUGUCCUGGUGACCUGAGGAAGUGAGUGGAGUGGCUGGGUGGGUCCAGACUUGCUACGGUGGAGAACAGGGAGCUAUUGAGCGUUGACCAAUGGGCAGUGAUGUAAUAGCAGCAGGAAGGAAGAUGUCACAAGGGCAAUGUUUACUCUUUUCUCUUCUGCAUUUCCCUGAGCUGCUCCCUCUUCACACUUCCCUUCUCAACUGCAAAGUAAUGGGCAAGCCUCUCAGGGAACAUGGAAGGCACCCCUGUGGGGCAAAAUCCUCUAGCAAAGGGGAGGGCCCCAGACAGCCAGCAUCCAGUGGAUCCUGGUCCUGGGACCAGGAUAAGAUGAAGGGGAGAGGACUCUGGGGUGGCCAUGGCUGCUGCUGCUGCUGCUGCCGCUGCUGCUGCUGCUGCUGCCGCUGCUGCCCUGAGCCUCAGCAGGGUACAGGAAGGCAGUGUGGAAAAGAGGGUUCUGGAAUCAGACAGAGCUGCGUUCAAAUCCUCUCUGCCACUUUCUACAUUUGUGACCUCAGGAAGUCUUCCAACCUCUCUGAGCCUCAGGGUCCUCAUUUGUAAGUGGUACCUACUCAAUAUUUAUUUGUAAAUGUCCUAAGGUGGUUGUCCUAAGAGUUAAACAGCAGACUGAUGUAAAAUUCUAAUGCUCAGUAUUUAGGGGACAGUCAGUGCUUAAUAAAAGUUACGAUGGAUGAUGAUGGUGGUGGUAGCGGUGGAAACAGGUGCAGGGUGAUCAAGGGUAUUGAGGGUUGAAAGGGGAAAGAGAUGAGUGCAGGUGGAACUGUUCAGGUAACUUCUCUCUGGGACUAGAGGGGGUGGAUGUGGGUGGAGAUGCAUGGGGGAAAGCACUCAGCCUGGGGACGGCCGGGGCUAGGGUGAGGUGCUGGGUGCUGGAAAGCGAGGGUUGUGUCUGGGGAAGUGCAGGUAGAACAGAAUAUGGGUUGUAAAACUGGCCAAGUUCUCUUUCACUUUUUUAUUAUUAAAAUUUUCCCAUCUACAAAAUAUGGAAAGAAUAGUCACCGUAAACUUAUUAUCUAGAUCAAAACAUCCAACCAUAAUUGAUAUUUUGCAUUAUUUGCUCCAUAUGUGUGUACAUUGCUGAGAUACAUUUUUAUAAAUAUAUUAAUUAUAUUUAUUAAUUGCAAAUAUAAAAUUUUAU
Suricata suricatta (meerkat) is the source of this 1622-nucleotide long non-coding RNA. Lineage: Eukaryota; Metazoa; Chordata; Mammalia; Carnivora; Herpestidae. The record is from Ensembl.